This 44-nucleotide ribosomal RNA is filed under the name Aspergillus flavus. RNAcentral's name for it is "partial 28S ribosomal RNA". RNAcentral also lists the same sequence under 2 other names. Lineage: Eukaryota; Fungi; Ascomycota; Eurotiomycetes; Eurotiales; Aspergillaceae. The record is from RNAcentral.
UAGGGAUACCCGCUGAACUUAAGCAUAUCAAUAAGCGGAGGAAA